This is a long non-coding RNA of Dalotia coriaria, 727 nucleotides long. RefSeq lists it as uncharacterized. The record is from RefSeq and is a predicted model, not a curated record. NCBI's taxonomy places the organism in Eukaryota, Metazoa, Arthropoda, Insecta, Coleoptera, Staphylinidae. The transcript is spliced from 2 exons.
GUAUAAGUUCACAUCACGACAAAAAACUUAACAAAUAAGCACAGCGUAAUCUGCACUCGGAGAUUCGUAUCCUGCGAUUCAUUUGCGCGUGUUCCCUGUGAGUUUAAACAAGUUUUAUCGAACAAAAUGCGUGCGUCUUUUCUUUUGGUAACUUUCGCUUUAUUUUUGGCAGUGGAAGCUGCUAAAUUACCCAGUGAAAAGUCAACAUCUACGUGUACAUGUGUAGCGCAUGACGAGUGCGAUAAUUUCGCUAAAAGUGACAUCAUAAGCACGACAUGUCAAAGCUUUUUAGACGUUUGCUGCGAACCAGGACACAUGAUUGCUAAAGAUCAAGGAGAAAAAGGGAGUGAAACCACAACAAAAGCAGAUGCUGCACAAGAAAGAGUUGUUUUUGUUGAUUAAUUAAUGAAAUUAUUAAUGUUUGUUGAGUGUAUAUAUGAUUGCAUACGUUAUAUAUUAAUCUUCAAAAGAAAAAACGUGUAUGUUGGGUUGCCUACGUUAAAACAUGAAUUUUUACCUAAAAACUUUUUUUGCACGGAAAUAAAAUAUAAAGACUUAUAAUAACAUAAGUACAUAAUAUUUUAGCCAAAUAAAUACUAAAAUACCAUAAAUAAUUAGAGUUUGUUUGUGUUAUGCCGAUAUGGGCGAAUAACCACUUACAAAUUACUUUUAACGACCGCUAUUAAACAUGUCUACUAGAAUAUAAAUAAAAAAACGAUAAUAACUA